This 84-nucleotide transfer RNA is filed under the name bacterium. RNAcentral describes it as "tRNA-Leu". It matches the Rfam family "tRNA". Rfam says of the family: Transfer RNA (tRNA) molecules are approximately 80 nucleotides in length. Their secondary structure includes four short double-helical elements and three loops (D, anti-codon, and T loops). Further hydrogen bonds mediate the characteristic L-shaped molecular structure. tRNAs have two regions of fundamental functional importance: the anti-codon, which is responsible for specific mRNA codon recognition, and the 3' end, to which the tRNAs corresponding amino acid is attached (by aminoacyl-tRNA synthetases). tRNAs cope with the degeneracy of the genetic code in two manners: having more than one tRNA (with a specific anti-codon) for a particular amino acid; and 'wobble' base-pairing, i.e. permitting non-standard base-pairing at the 3rd anti-codon position. The record is from RNAcentral. RNAcentral also lists the same sequence under 1 other name.
GCCCGGGUGGUGGAAUUGGCAGACACGCCAGGUUCAGGGUCUGGUGGUAGCAAUACUGUGCUGGUUCGAGCCCAGUCCCGGGCA